Molecule: ribosomal RNA, 483 nt
Filed under: uncultured bacterium
Lineage: Bacteria
Description: partial 16S ribosomal RNA
Rfam family: Bacterial small subunit ribosomal RNA
Source: RNAcentral
GACGAACGCUGGCGGCGUGCUUAACACAUGCAAGUCGAACGCUGAAGCUCAGCUUUUGUUGGGUGGAGGAGUGGCGAACGGGUGAGUAACACGUGAGUAACCUGCCCCCUUCUUUGGGAUAACGCACGGAAACGGGUGCUAAUACUGGAUAUUCACUGGUCUUCGCGUGGGGGCUGGUGGUAAGGGUGUUUCUGGUGGGGGAUGGGCUCGCGGCCUAUCAGCAUGUUGGUGGGGUGAUGGCGUACCAAGGCUUUGACGGGUAGCCGGCCUGAGAGGGUGACCGGUCACAGAGGGACUGAAGUACGGCCCAGACUGGGACGGGGGGCAGAAGCGGGGAGGAUGGAGCAAUGGGGGAAAGCGUGAUGCAGCGGCGCCGCUGAAGGGGUGGGGGCCUUCGGGUUGUGAACGUCUUUCGGUCAUGAUGAAGCCGCAACAAUGGUUGUGGUGAGGGUAGUGGGUAAAGAAGCGCCGGCUAACUACGUG